AUGCACAUGAAUGAAGUCCUUCCACAAGGACCUAGGAGUGAAACCAAGGAACAAGAGGGUCCCCAAGGGGGGAUACCCCAUGUGGCCGGCCACACCCCCAUGAGGGGCCCAAAAAAUGGCUCCUAUCCAUCCAUGUCAUCCCCAAGAUCUUUUGGAGCAAAGCCCCAAAAGGUGGCUUUCCAUAAAUGGUACCGCGUUCGGUUUUCUUUCUACAACAGCACAGGCAGCUUCACAGCUCAUAAGGUGAGCACCAUGUGCUUGUUUAACCAGUUUAAGAUCCAUGGUUAUUAUCAGUACGACUGUGAGUGUGAGGCCAAGGAGAUGGAGGGGAAGAAUAGAGUGGCCGCCAUUGCCGCCCUGUGCAUGCUCCUUCUCCUCACGCUGCCAAAGCCAUCCCAUCAGCAGCCCUCCGGAGUCAACUGCAAGUGCUACCGGCGGUGCUACCCUGCGUGCAAGGAAAGGAUCCAGCCGUUGCCCUGCAAGGUCAAGUGUGCUGGUCGCUGCCCCGACGCCAUUGAUCGCCUUGCCUCCUGCUUGAUCGCCUGUGGCAUGGACUCCAUCUGUGACCAGCCAGCGCUGUCAGUCGAUGUUGAGGUUUGCAGGAAUGUCUGCCACGAUAUGUGGGUGGCGAGUGGCGCCAACUAA
RNAcentral lists this ribosomal RNA (645 nucleotides) under Triticum aestivum (bread wheat). RNAcentral's name for it is "partial small subunit ribosomal RNA". Lineage: Eukaryota; Viridiplantae; Streptophyta; Magnoliopsida; Poales; Poaceae. The record is from RNAcentral.